UACGGAGGGGGCUAGCGUUGUUCGGAAUUACUGGGCGUAAAGCGCACGUAGGCGGCUUUGUAAGUUAGAGGUGAAAGCCCAGGGCUCAACCCUGGAAUUGCCUUUAAGACUGCAUCGCUUGAACAUCGGAGAGGUAAGUGGAAUUCCGAGUGUAGAGGUGAAAUUCGUAGAUAUUCGGAAGAACACCAGUGGCGAAGGCGACUUACUGGACGAUUGUUGACGCUGAGACGCGAAAGCGUGGGGAGCGAACAGG
This 253-nucleotide ribosomal RNA is filed under the name uncultured bacterium. Its description in RNAcentral is "partial 16S ribosomal RNA". It matches the Rfam family "Bacterial small subunit ribosomal RNA", at positions 524 to 776 of the family's 1533-position model. The record is from RNAcentral.